This 253-nucleotide ribosomal RNA is filed under the name uncultured bacterium. Its description in RNAcentral is "partial 16S ribosomal RNA". It matches the Rfam family "Bacterial small subunit ribosomal RNA", at positions 524 to 776 of the family's 1533-position model. The record is from RNAcentral.
UACGUAGGGGGCAAGCGUUGUCCGGAUUUAUUGGGCGUAAAGAGCGUGUAGGCGGCCAGCCAGGUCCGUUGUGAAAACUAGAGGCUUAACCUCUAGACGUCGAUGGAAACCGUCUGGCUAGAGUCCGGAAGAGGAGAAUGGAAUUCCUGGUGUAGCGGUGAAAUGCGCAGAUAUCAGGAAGAACACCCGUGGCUAAGGCGGUUCUCUAGUACGGUACUGACGCUGAGACGCGAAAGCGUGGGGAGCGAACAGG